GAAAAGCAGAUAAGGCCCGCCGUGGAAAGGGUUUUGUUCAGAGUCCACCCUUAGUAGUUAAAGCCAUAAAGUCUCUUCUGUUAAUGGUGAGCAUCAUGGAGUUAGUUCAUGUUUAUGGAACAGGAACAGAGAAAAGCAGAGAUAAAGCAAAGGAAAGCUCCCAUAUUAGAAAGCCAUAACAUUCUCAAAGCCCUGCUUUAACUUCCUCCCAGAACUUACAUACAUACAUGCACAGGCACUCACAUAUACUUUCUGGCAAGAGACUGCACUUCCUUCCAAAAUGGUCCAGAAAAGACUUAGAGAUAAUGAGACAUGAGAGGUCUUGCAUGCAUCAUUGAUUGGCAUAUUAUUCUCUGAGUGGUGAAGCUUAUCAAAGUUCUGAUCCAUGAUCUUAAAGCACUCAAACCUAGAAAGUACCAGAUACUACAAAGAAUUUUAACAUGGUUGAAUAAAAUUAAAGAGAAAAAAAACAGUGCUAAGGAAUGAAUUAAUUAAAAAACACCCAGGAAUUAAAACCAGAUUAUAUAAGACAGAGCAGGAAUCCAAAAGCAACCAAGAAAAUUCCUGAUAUCUCUUAAGCUGUAUAUAGCCACAGUGAUGAGAGAGAAUUAUAUUUUUAUAAUUUUGUUUAAUAUAUAUGUUUACCAUUUAUAUAAAUAUAUAUGAUAUAUAUGUGUGUAUGUAUAUGCAUAUGUAUAUGUAUAUAUUUCCUGGAUGUGAGUUGCUAUGUGUGUACUGGAAACUAAACCUGAAUUCUCUGCAAGAGCAGCAAGCACUCUU
Molecule: long non-coding RNA, 780 nt
Filed under: Mus musculus (house mouse)
Lineage: Eukaryota; Metazoa; Chordata; Mammalia; Rodentia; Muridae
Description: long non-coding RNA chr2:139785221-139786001
Source: RNAcentral